This 468-nucleotide ribosomal RNA is filed under the name uncultured bacterium. Its description in RNAcentral is "partial 16S ribosomal RNA". It matches the Rfam family "Bacterial small subunit ribosomal RNA", at positions 28 to 507 of the family's 1533-position model. The record is from RNAcentral.
GACGAACGCUGGCGGCGUGCUUAACACAUGCAAGUCGAACGGAAAGGCCCUGCUUUUGUGGGGUGCUCGAGUGGCGAACGGGUGAGUAACACGUGAGUAACCUGCCCUUGACUUUGGGAUAACUUCAGGAAACUGGGGCUAAUACCGGAUAGGAGCUCCUGCUGCAUGGUGGGGGUUGGAAAGUUUCGGCGGUUGGGGAUGGACUCGCGGCUUAUCAGCUUGUUGGUGGGGUAGUGGCUUACCAAGGCUUUGACGGGUAGCCGGCCUGAGAGGGUGACCGGCCACCUUGGGACUGAGAUACGGCCCAGACUCCUACGGGAGGCAGCAGUGGGGAAUAUUGCACAAUGGGCGGAAGCCUGAUGCAGCAACGCCGCGUGCGGGAUGACGGCCUUCUGGUUGUAAACCGCUUUCGCCUGUGACGAAGCGUGAGUGACGGUAAUGGGUAAAGAAGCACCGGCUAACUACGUG